AUGAACGCUGACAGAAUGCUUAACACAUGCAAGUCGAUGGGGAAGUGGUGCUUGCACCAUGGUAACCAUGGCGGACGGGUGAGUAACGCGUAAGGAACUUGCCUGCGGGACUGGGAUAACAGCAGGAAACUGCUGAUAAUACCGGAUAAGGUCAUUAAGCUGCAUAGCUUAGUGAUGAAAGGAGACGCCUGCGGAGAGCCUUGCGUCCUAUUAGCUAGUUGGAGGGGUAACGGCCCACCAAGGCGAAGAUAGGUAGCCGGCCUGAGAGGGUGGACGGCCACAAGGGGACUGAGAUACGGCCCUUACUCCUACGGGAGGCAGCAGUGGGGAAUAUCGGACAAUGGGGGCAACCCUGAUCCAGCAAUUCUGUGUGCACGAAGACGGUUUUCGGAUUGUAAAGUGCUUUCAGCAGGGAAGAAGGAAGUGACGGUACCUGCAGAAGAAGCGACGGCUAAAUACGUG
Molecule: ribosomal RNA, 462 nt
Filed under: uncultured bacterium
Lineage: Bacteria
Description: partial 16S ribosomal RNA
Rfam family: Bacterial small subunit ribosomal RNA
Source: RNAcentral